GACGAACGCUGGCGGCGUGCUUAACACAUGCAAGUCGAACGGAAAGGCCCUGCUUUUGUGGGGUGCUCGAGUGGCGAACGGGUGAGUAACACGUGAGUAACCUGCCCUUGACUUUGGGAUAACUUCAGGAAACUGGGGCUAAUACCGGAUAGGAGCUCCUGCUGCAUGGUGGGGGUUGGAAAGUUUCGGCGGUUGGGGAUGGACUCGCGGCUUAUCAGCUUGUUGGUGGGGUAGUGGCUUACCAAGGCUUUGACGGGUAGCCGGCCUGAGAGGGUGACCGGCCACAAUAGGACUGAGAUACGGCCCAGACUCGUACGGGAGGCAGCAGUGGAGAAUAUUGCACAAUGGGCGGAAGCCUGAUGCAGCAACGCCGCGUGCGGGAUGACGGCCUUCGGGUUGUAAACCGCUUUCGCCUGUGACGAAGCGUGAGUGACGGUAAUGGGUAAAGAAGCACCGGCUAACUACGUG
Molecule: ribosomal RNA, 468 nt
Filed under: uncultured bacterium
Lineage: Bacteria
Description: partial 16S ribosomal RNA
Rfam family: Bacterial small subunit ribosomal RNA
Source: RNAcentral